CGGCCGCGAAUCGCCCUUUUCCGGUUGAUCCUGCCGGAGGUCACUGCUAUCGGGGUUCGACUAAGCCAUGCGAGUCACUGGUCCUUGUGGCCAGGGCGGACGGCUCAGUAACACGUGGGUAACCUGCCCUCAGGACGGGGAUAACCCCGGGGAACUGGGGAUAAUACCCGAUAGGCAGAAGCAUCUGGAAUGAUCUUCUGCCCAAAUCCUUCGGGGCCCGAGGAUGGGCCUGCGGCCGAUUAGGUUGUUGGCGGUGUAAUGGACCACCAAGCCGAAGAUCGGUACGGGCACUGAGAGGUGGAGCCCGGAGAUGGAGACUGAGACAAGGCUCCAGGCCCUACGGGGCGCAGCAGGCGCGAAAACUCCGCAAUGCGCGAAAGCGUGACGGGGGAACCCUGAGUGCGCCCGCGCAAGCGGGUGCUUUUGCAGAGUGUAAACAGCUCUGCGAAUAAGAGCGGGGUAAGACCGGUGCCAGCCGCCGCGGUAACACCGGCCGCUCGAGUGGUGAUCGCUAUUAUUGGGCCUAAAGCGUCCGUAGCCUGUCCUGUAAGUCCCCGGGUAAAUCCAUUCGUUUAACGGAUGGAAUUCUGGGGAUACUGCUGGACUCGGGGGCGAGAGAAGUCAGAGGUACUCCGGGGGUAGCGGUGAAAUGUUGUAAUCCUCGGGGGACCACCAGUGGCGAAGGCGUCUGACUAGAGCGCGCCCGACGGUGAGGGACGAAAGCUAGGGGAGCGAACGGGAUUAGAUACCCCGGUAGUCCUAGCCGUAAACGCUGCGGGCUAGGUGUUACGUCCUCUACGUGGGGGCGUAGUGCCGAAGAGAAGUUGAUAAGCCUGCCCGCUGGGAAGUAUUACCGCAAGGUAGAAACU
Molecule: ribosomal RNA, 869 nt
Filed under: uncultured archaeon
Lineage: Archaea
Description: bacterial SSU rRNA
Rfam family: Archaeal small subunit ribosomal RNA
Source: RNAcentral